Molecule: ribosomal RNA, 478 nt
Filed under: uncultured bacterium
Lineage: Bacteria
Description: partial 16S ribosomal RNA
Rfam family: Bacterial small subunit ribosomal RNA
Source: RNAcentral
GAUGAACGCUGGCGGCGUGCUUAACACAUGCAAGUCGAACGGGAAACCUUUUAAUGAAGCUUCGGCAGAUUUAGCUGGGUUCUAGUGGCGGACGGGUGAGUAACGCGUGGGUAACCUGCCUUAUACAGGGGGAUAACAGUCAGAAAUGACUGCUAAUACCGCAUAAGCGCACAGGACCGCAUGGUCCGGUGUGAAAAACUCCGGUGGUAUAAGAUGGACCCGCGUUGGAUUAGCUUGUUGGUGGGGUAACGGCUCACCAAGGCGACGAUCCAUAGCCGGCAUGAGAGGGUGAACGGCCACAUUGGGACUGAGACACGGUCCAGACUCCUACGGGAGGCAGCAGUGGGGAAUAUUGCACAAUGGGGGAAACCCUGAUGCAGCUACGCCGCGUGAAGGAAGAAGUAUCUCGGUAUGUAAACUUCUAUCAGCAGGGCAGAUAGUGACGGUACCUGAAGAAGAAGCCCCGGCUAACUACGUG